UGAGAUGCCUGGCGAGAUCACAAC
This 24-nucleotide non-coding RNA is filed under the name Arabidopsis thaliana (thale cress). Lineage: Eukaryota; Viridiplantae; Streptophyta; Magnoliopsida; Brassicales; Brassicaceae. The record is from RNAcentral.